CAAAGCUGUAGCCAUUUUAUAUUUUCCGUGUUUACUCUUUCUACUGUACAGAAAACAUGUUCGGCUAUAAGUGCAGGAGGUCACCUAACCAGCAUCACCAGUGCAGAACAGAAUGAAUUCCUUCGUAAGCUUUCUCAGGGACAACAGAAUACCCAGUUCUGGACGGGGGGAACUUACCAAAAGGGUUCAUUGUUGAGAUGGAGUGAUGGAUCUCUGAUAACCUUUAUCCAGAGGCCUCUGUCAUCCAUUUUCUAUGCUGUUGGAGGACUGAUUAACAACCUGUUUAACAUAAAGCUUUGCCUGAUGGUCAAUAUUGGAGGAGGGGCUCAAUGGGACAGCUCCCCCUGCAGCCAGAGGCUACCAUUCAUCUGCACUUACAGACCAAGCCUGGUUCACCCUUAACCUAUCACUGAACCACUGAUGAAACCUGACUGGCUGCAACGGCACUUGGAAUUGAAUUCACCUGAAAUACAUUAGUGCAGAAAAAUCUUUUGCAUGGAAAAAUCAAGGUCUUAUACUAAAAAAGAAGAGGUGUCAAAGCGAGUGACAUUUCUGUUCUGUUUGCAUUAUUGUGGUGAUGUUCCUGCAGACUAUCUUUAUAAUGAUCUUAUAAAAAUAAAUUCUGAUUUUAUUUGAAUGCUUGAUGAAAUCAGAGGACCGUUUAGCUUUUCCACAGGGCGUUCAAGAAUAUUCAUAAGAGCUCUUUAAUUAUUAAAUAAUUACCAAUCAU
This 730-nucleotide long non-coding RNA is filed under the name Meleagris gallopavo (turkey). Its description in RNAcentral is "lncRNA (ENSMGAG00000022781.1)". The record is from RNAcentral. Lineage: Eukaryota; Metazoa; Chordata; Aves; Galliformes; Phasianidae.